UUCUUCAUAGUAAAAAAAAAUAUUUUGCAUACGUACAUACACAAAAAAUCAUAUUAUAUUGUCUUUCUUGCACUCUAAGUUUCUUUCUUUCAUUGUGUUUUUAAUUUUACUAUAUCAUUAAGUAACUAAUUACCUCCUAGUUACUUAGCAUUAUCUACAUUCGUGUGUUUAUUAAUCAUCAUCUAGAGUUGGUUACUACUUUCCUCGAUUAGGAUUUCUUAAAAAAAACUUGAUUAUCUUGAUUUAAAGGAAUUCAAUUCUGAUAUUCAAUUUGCAGGACGAAGCUUGAGUGAAACACAAAGAGUUAAACACUUGAGGGAGUGUUAUUUUCUUUAU
This 336-nucleotide long non-coding RNA is filed under the name Carica papaya (papaya). Its description in RNAcentral is "long non-coding RNA (CPAP_LNC016228)". The record is from RNAcentral. Lineage: Eukaryota; Viridiplantae; Streptophyta; Magnoliopsida; Brassicales; Caricaceae.